Molecule: long non-coding RNA, 564 nt
Organism: Cucurbita moschata (crookneck pumpkin)
Lineage: Eukaryota; Viridiplantae; Streptophyta; Magnoliopsida; Cucurbitales; Cucurbitaceae
Exons: 2
Source: RefSeq, a predicted model, not a curated record
CCAUUUGUAACCAUAAAUUCUCUCUCUACCUCUUUUUUUCUCUCUCCCUUUUUAUGGACUUCCUUUGGGACGUAUUCUAAUUCUUCAAUCGCCUCCUCCAUCUCUCUCUCGAAGAGAGAUCUGCUGCUCUGUUCAGAUUCCGAUCGUUGCAGGGAUUUUUAUUCGGUCGGUCGGCCGGCGUCUCCAUGGGGAAGUUUGUCGAGAUUCUCGACGCUGGCGUCAGGAUUGUCGCCAGAUUUCAUUCGCAUUGUCCUCAGACUGCUCGGAUGUACUACCAUCCGCCGGCUAACUCCAACGAAGGCCACCACUCCGACCGCCAGGAGUUUCGCCUUAGCGGCGGCGAUGUGUCGUCUCAUCAGAUUGUUCCUUGCAGUGCCGCGGCCGCCGUUGUAGCCGUCAGCGCUGAGAGAAAGUAGGCAAGAAAUUGAGGGGAAAAUGUUGAUCUCGUUUGGUAAUGUGAAAAAGAAAAGAAAAGAAUCCGCAGCGAAUCAGACUUUCCGUUGAAAGUUCGUAAUUUAGUAAUUUAAUCUCACAUUCUUCCCGUGACCUCCAAGAAAAGUUAAA